Molecule: microRNA, 22 nt
Filed under: Ciona intestinalis (vase tunicate)
Lineage: Eukaryota; Metazoa; Chordata; Ascidiacea; Phlebobranchia; Cionidae
Description: Cin-Mir-4018-P1_3p* (star (passenger))
Source: RNAcentral
GCUCGCUCCGCAAUGCACCCAA